UAUUCUCCAACUCUUUCCAAUUUCGUAGUCUUGGCCACUAGUUAGCAACUCUAACACCUACAUAAAACCGAAAAGAAGAGAACACAAAUAAGAAAACUGAAGUGUGUGAUCUUCUUGAGACAUAUAUAAAUCUUAAGGUAUGUUUGGUUCGAGAAUUUUUUUUUAUUUUUAAUUUUAAAAAAAAUGUUUUCGCAAACCAAACAGAUCGAUUAAACAUUAACGAUAUAAAGGUUGUUAUUUGUUAGUUCACCUCGGUCAUUGUAGGACGCCAAAUGGCAGUUUGUCUGACACAGUAUGAAGCAGUUAGGAUUACCCUAUACAGUUGCUCUGCAUCAUAUCUACCUUCCAUUCUUGGAUCAGCCAGCUCACCAAUAUUCCCUGAUUCCAUCAGAGGCUUUGCCUGUAUCAUGUUAAAAUGUGUUUGUUAAUUAACAGAGACUAAAAUGACGGGCUAUAUGAAAAUCGGUCAUUUUAGUCGGAGACUAAAAUGACGGAUUUUGUAUACUUGGAGACUAAGUUGAUGAUUUAUUUAAUGAAAAGUGUAUUUACCCAUAGGAGAAUAUUUUGCUUUGAUGAAUCAACAGGUUUGCGUCCGGUUACAAUCUCGAGAAGAAGAACACCAAAUGCAUAAAUAUCAGUUUUCUCAUCCACAAUACCAUGCAUAAAGACUUCUGGUGCUAGAUAUCCAAAUGUUCCCUCCACUGGGAUUACAGCAUGAUGAGUCCACUU
RNAcentral lists this long non-coding RNA (729 nucleotides) under Trifolium pratense (red clover). RNAcentral's name for it is "long non-coding RNA (TPRA_LNC001015)". The record is from RNAcentral. Lineage: Eukaryota; Viridiplantae; Streptophyta; Magnoliopsida; Fabales; Fabaceae.